RNAcentral lists this ribosomal RNA (749 nucleotides) under uncultured bacterium. RNAcentral describes it as "bacterial SSU rRNA". It matches the Rfam family "Bacterial small subunit ribosomal RNA", at positions 8 to 764 of the family's 1533-position model. The record is from RNAcentral.
AGAGUUUGAUCAUGGCUCAGGACGAACGCUGGCGGCGUGCCUAAUGCAUGCAAGUCGAGCGGGCUACGAUCUUCGGAUUGUAGCUUAGCGGCGAACGGGUGAGUAACACGUAGGUAAUCUACCCUUCAGAGGAGGACAACCUCAGGAAACUGAGGCUAAACCUUCAUACGUUCACUGGUAGGGAUACUGGUGAAGAAAGAGUUACCUUAGUGGUAGCUGCUGAAGGAUGAGCCUGCGGCCCAUCAGGUAGUUGGUGAGGUAACGGCUCACCAAGCCGAAGACGGGUAACCGGUCUGAGAGGAUGUCCGGUCACACUGGGACUGAGACACGGCCCAGACUCCUACGGGAGGCAGCAGCAGGGAAUCUUGGGCAAUGGGCGAAAGCCUGACCCAGCGACGCCGCGUGGAGGAAGAAGUCCUUCGGGGCGUAAACUCCUGGACUGGGGGACGAGUAAGGACGGUACCCCAGUAGAAAGGGACGGCUAACUACGUGCCAGCAGCCGCGGUAAAACGUAGGUCCCGAGCGUUGUUCGGAUUCACUGGGUGUAAAGGGCGCGUAGGUGGUUGUCUGUGUCUCAUGUGAAAACUCAGGGCUCAACUCUGAGAUUGCGUGGGAAACUAGGCAGCUAGAGGACGGUAGAGGGGAGUGGAAUUCCCGGUGUAGCGGUAAAAUGCGUAGAUAUCGGGAGGAACACCGGUGGCGAAGGCGGCUCUCUGGGCCGAUCCUGACGCUGAGGCGCGAAAGCUAGG